UAUAUCACCAUUUUGGACAUGUAUGUUUAUAUGUGGAUACUUAUAAGGAAAGGUCAGGAAGAAGUCAAAAUCCUGUUGAGAGAAGUUUCAUUAAAGUUAAAGGGACACUAUAAUCACCAGAACAACUAUAGCUUAAUGUAGUUGUUCUGGUGAGUAUAAUCAUUGCCUUCAGGCAUUUUUCCUCAGAUGGCCACUGGAUGUGCUUCCUGCUCCUACUAUGCAGCCCUGCCAUUCAGCAUCCCAACGUUCUGCAUGGAGACGCUGAAUUUUCAUCUUAAAACACUGCACAUCCAGACUAAUUAGCAUUUUUGUGCCAGGGGCAAGUUGCACCCCCAGGACACUAGAAA
Molecule: non-coding RNA, 347 nt
Organism: Pelobates cultripes (western spadefoot toad)
Lineage: Eukaryota; Metazoa; Chordata; Amphibia; Anura; Pelobatidae
Source: the annotation of a GenBank genome assembly